This 2467-nucleotide long non-coding RNA is filed under the name Homo sapiens (human). RNAcentral describes it as "non-protein coding lnc-PLA2G2C-4:2". Lineage: Eukaryota; Metazoa; Chordata; Mammalia; Primates; Hominidae. The record is from RNAcentral.
GGGUUAUUGAGAGGCUUGCAAGGGAGACACUGUCCUAUAAAAUGCUUGUCCCAGUUUCUGGUCCCCAGUAAAUGUUGGCUAUUGCUUUCAUUCCCUUUUCUCUUUGGGUUAUCCUUCCGGCUUCACUCUCCCACCCACUAUGACUGCAUCUGGGCAUCUGAGUUUUGGCAUUACCCCAUGGGGGCUCUGGCCACCUACAUUCUUGUUCUAUUAGUUCCCAAGAGAGCUGGUUGUUGAAAAAAGCCUGACACCUCCCCCAUCUCUCUCUUGCUUCCCCUUUUGAGAAAAAAAGAAAAAGAAAAGAAAACACAUGAACAGAAUCAUCUCUCACAAGGGCUUCUGGAGACAGCGUGUGAAAAAAAUCAUCUCUCACAACUGCUUCUUUGCUCCUUACUUUUGCAGUAGAAAAUCUGAUUUCUGGAAGGGCCCAGUAACUCAUUGAAGAUUGGUGGCCUGAGGCUUCCACCCCGCAGGGGCACCCACCCCUGAUAUACCAGCACCAGCUCCAUCAGCCCCUGGCUGCAGGUAUGUGUCCCAAUCUCCUCUUCUUUUACAGACACCAGCCAUAUUGGAUUAGGGCUUACCCUAAUGACCUUAUUUUAACUUAAUCAUCUCUUUAAGAACCUCUCUCCAAAUAUAGUCAUAUUCUGAGGUACUGAGGGUUAGGAUUUCAACAUAUGAAUUUGGGGGGACACAAUUAAAACCCUAACAGGAAGUGAGGAGAAUGUAUAAGAGGAAGAUACAAGGUAUCAGGGUGGGAAAGGGGCAAGCAAGUCCUCCCCGAAGAAAUGACAACUCAAUAGAGACUUGAAGCACUAGAAGUUUUCCAGAUUCUAUUACAAAUAAACAUGCACGUGUAUGUUUAUCGCAGCACUAUUCACAACCUUUAAAAACCAGAUCAAACAAGCCUCGCUAGGGUAUAUGAACAUCCCAGGACACUGUGGCACAUGACAGUCGGCUCUGAACUUGGACUUUGCCUUUAUCCCGUCUUCCAUGGGCCUGGCCAAGCUCAUGGUCCCUUCUUCCAUCUUCAAAGCCACAGUGGCCAGUCAAAUCUUUCUCAUGUCCCCUCACUCUGACAUGGAUGCUCCUGCCUCCGUCUUUCAUGUACAAGGACCCCUGUGGUUACAUAAGGUCUCUUCUAUUAGAGAGCAGGGACUUUGUCUUGUUCAUGAUCAUAUCCUCCAUAUCUAGGAUUGUGCCUGACGCAGUUGUAGAUGCACAAAAAAUAUUUGUUGAAUGAACGCAUAAUCAGACGAUGAAACACUUAAUGCUAAACCCCGCAAUGAGUCAGAUGUGAAAGAAUGGUGUUCACGUCUAUUGACUCCCACUCAGGUACUCUAAGGACUAAGUCAGCCAUUCUUAACCCUUUUUGAAAUGCAAGGUAUUGGCAUAUGACAGGUGGUGACCCUGAAGGAUUAUCUGUCCCCUUUGGGUUCAUUUGCACAAUACACACACAAGCCAGUACAACCAACAUCUAUCAGCUCAUGCCCUUCAAAAUUAAUGGAAUCAUUCCAUGAAUGCUUCUGUUAGCAAUGUAGAGAGGAACAGCGUGCGUCCCGUCAGCAAUCCUUCAAUGUCCUGUCCACGCUAUCUGGGUACUUUCUCCAAUGAACCAUGUCCUUUUCCCUUUCACAGCUUAAUUUUUGAGAAAACUGAAAAAUUAUUACCAGUAUAUGGAAAUUUUAAGGCAUUCUUUUUAUGAUGAUUUAAAAAAAACUUAAGCAUGUAAUCUCAUAAUAAUGAUGUAAUUGAUUGUACAGUACAAGCACCUGAAGUGUGGGACCAGCAGUCUGAACCUUAUUUUUCAUUUAAAUCAGGGCAGUUAUCUACUUCUGAGGGUGCUCUUGUCACGUGUAGACAACAGAGUGAUUUGCGCCAUUCCCAACUCUCCCUAGUCGCACUGUGUUUGUUUUGUUGUUGCUCUUUGGGGACUCAUGGCUCUAACUGCAGCUUUCUGCCAGCCUCAUCAGUGCCUCUCAACCUCUUCUGGCUUCUCAGCAUUGUGCAGCCUGUGCUGCAGCCUGUCAUUUGCAAGUCGGUCCCUGUGCUGGGCUGGAAGUGGGUAAUUCUUCCCCACAAUGCCCUGUUUGUCAGUCUUGAGCAUUUAAAGUGCAACGUGGUUGGCAGCAGCAGAUGUGCUGUGUACACCCACUCUGCUCAACCUCAUUAGCUGUCUCGCUGCAAGGCAAAUUGCCGGGGGAAUGCAAGCUCUAGUCCUGCUGCAGAUGCUGAGAGCCGGAUGUUCACUGACAACUCUUCCUAAACAGCAGCUGGUUUCUCCUUCUUUCCUCUUGUGCAUCUUUUGAACUCAGUUUGAGAAACUAACAUUCGUUCAUUGCCUCUACGAACUAUGAAUAUUUAGGAAUAUUCUAAAUGUAUUAAGGCAGAACCACUUAUCAAAUGCGUAUUAUGCAGAAGGUGCAUCCUCUCUACUAUAUUUUAAUCCUCAUUUCAACCUCUGGGA